CAUUACUGAGUUUACGCUCUACAACCCUUUGUGAACAUACCUACAACUGUUGCUUCGGCGGGUAGGGUCUCCGCGACCCUCCCGGCCUCCCGCCUCCGGGCGGGUCGGCGCCCGCCGGAGGAUAACCAAACUCUGAUUUAACGACGUUUCUUCUGAGUGGUACAAGCAAAUAAUCAAAACUUUUAACAACGGAUCUCUUGGUUCUGGCAUCGAUGAAGAACGCAGCGAAAUGCGAUAAGUAAUGUGAAUUGCAGAAUUCAGUGAAUCAUCGAAUCUUUGAACGCACAUUGCGCCCGCCAGCAUUCUGGCGGGCAUGCCUGUUCGAGCGUCAUUUCAACCCUCAAGCUCUGCUUGGUGUUGGGGCCCUACAGCCGAUGUAGGCCCUCAAAGGUAGUGGCGGACCCUCCCGGAGCCUCCUUUGCGUAGUAACUUUACGUCUCGCACUGGGAUCCGGAGGGACUCUUGCCGUAAAACCCCCCAAUUUUCCAAAGGUUGACCUCGGAUCAGGUAGGAAUACCCGCUGAACUUAAGCAUAUCAAUAAAGCG
This 546-nucleotide ribosomal RNA is filed under the name Colletotrichum gloeosporioides. RNAcentral describes it as "eukaryotic LSU rRNA". The stretch from base 178 to 331 matches the Rfam family "5.8S ribosomal RNA". The record is from RNAcentral. Lineage: Eukaryota; Fungi; Ascomycota; Sordariomycetes; Glomerellales; Glomerellaceae.